CAGCAGCCGCGGUAAUACCGGCGGCCCGAGUGGCGGUCACUAUUAUUGGGCUUAAAGCGUCCGUAGCCGGGUUGGGAAAUCCUCCGGGAAAUCUGGCCGCUUAACGGUCAGAAUGCCGGAGGAUACUCCCAGCCUAGGGAGCGGGAGAGGCCGAGGGUAUUCCCGGAGUAGGGGGGAAAUCCUAUAAUCCGGGAGGACCACCUGUGGCGAAGGCGCUCGGCUGGAACGCGUCCGACGGUGAGGGACGAAGGCCAGGGGAGCAAACCGGAUUAGAUACCCGGGUAGUCCUGGCUGUAAACGAUGCGGACUUUGUGUCGGACAAGCUAUGAGCUUGUCCGGUGCCGGAGGGAAACCGUUAAGUCCGCCGCCUGGGGAGUACGGCCGCAAGGCUGAAACUUAAAGGAAUUGGCGGG
RNAcentral lists this ribosomal RNA (413 nucleotides) under uncultured microorganism. Its description in RNAcentral is "bacterial SSU rRNA". It matches the Rfam family "Archaeal small subunit ribosomal RNA", at positions 459 to 872 of the family's 1478-position model. The record is from RNAcentral.